UAGAUGGUUGCAGCAUAAAUA
This 21-nucleotide microRNA is filed under the name Drosophila pseudoobscura pseudoobscura. RNAcentral describes it as "mir-2542-1-RB". The record is from RNAcentral. Lineage: Eukaryota; Metazoa; Arthropoda; Insecta; Diptera; Drosophilidae.